AGCAUCUAUAUAUAGCAUUCACAUAUUAAUCAUGAGAAAACAAAUGAUAAUAUGAUUUUUCACAAAAGUAGGACAUAUCUGGCCUUAUAUAAUAUAGAAUGAUAUGCUUUGUUUCCUCAGGGAAUGAAACUGCAUGGCUUGCUACAGAGCUGAAAUGGAGGCCACUACUUUUGGUUCUAAUUGGUGUUAAGUAUGUCAUGGACAUGUUCAAUAAAUAGAGUGUGGAACCACGGUGUGUAAACAGAUAUUGAAAUGGAUUGCAUGUUAGCACAUGAUUUGCAAGAACUGAAUCUAUGAAGAGCAAGGAUUAGAGUCAGAUGCAUGUGCCACUGGCUGUUCAGCACACACAAGUUAUCCUUGAGGAUACAUAUUCACCCAACUG
This is a long non-coding RNA of Ahaetulla prasina, 382 nucleotides long. RefSeq lists it as uncharacterized. The record is from RefSeq and is a predicted model, not a curated record. NCBI's taxonomy places the organism in Eukaryota, Metazoa, Chordata, Lepidosauria, Squamata, Colubridae. The transcript has 3 exons.